GACGAACGCUGGCGGCGUGCUUAACACAUGCAAGUCGAACGAAGUGGCGAACGGGUGAGUAAUGCCUAGGAAUCUGCCUGGUAGUGGGGGAUAACGUCCGGAAACGGGCGCUAAUACCGCAUACUAUCAGAUGAGCCUAGGUCGGAUUAGCUAGUUGGUGGGGUAAAGGCCUACCAAGGCGACGAUCCGUAACUGGUCUGAGAGGAUGAUAAGUCACACUGGAACUGAGACACGGGCCAGACUCCUACGGGAGGCAGCAGUGGGGAAUCUUCCGCAAUGGGCGAAAGUCUGACGGAGCAACGCCGCGUGAGUGAUGACGGCCUUCGGGUUGGAAAGCUCUGUUAAUCGGGACGCAGUACCGGAAUAGAAAGCCACGGCUAACUACGUGCCAGCCGCCGCGGUAAUAC
This 407-nucleotide ribosomal RNA is filed under the name uncultured bacterium. Its description in RNAcentral is "partial 16S ribosomal RNA". It matches the Rfam family "Bacterial small subunit ribosomal RNA", at positions 28 to 526 of the family's 1533-position model. The record is from RNAcentral.